GACGAACGCUGGCGGCGUGCCUAAUACAUGCAAGUAGAACGCAGUUGCGAACGGGUGAGUGACGCGUAGGUAACUGCCUCAUAGCGGGGGAUAACUAUUGGAAACGUUAGCUAAUACCGCAUACUGUGAGAUGGACCUGCGUUGUAUUAGCUAGUUGGUGAGGUAAAGGCUCACCAAGGCGACGAUACAUAGCCGACCUGGGAGGGUGAACGGGCACACUGGGACUGGGACACGGGCCAGGAUCCUAACGGGGGCAGCAGUAGGGGAACUUUGGGAAUGGACGGAAGUCUGACCGAGGAACGCCGGGUGAGUGAAGAAGGUUUUCGGAUCGGAAAGCUCUGUUGGUAGAGAAGCGGUAACUAAACAGAAAGGGACGGCUAACUACGUGCCAGCAGCCGCGGUAAUAC
Molecule: ribosomal RNA, 407 nt
Filed under: uncultured bacterium
Lineage: Bacteria
Description: partial 16S ribosomal RNA
Rfam family: Bacterial small subunit ribosomal RNA
Source: RNAcentral